GACGAACGCUGGCGGCGUGCUUAACACAUGCAAGUCGAACGAAGAGCGAUGGAAGCUUGCUUCUAUCACUCUUAGUGGCGAACGGGUGAGUAACGCGUAAUCAACCUGCCCUUCAGAGGGGGACAACAGUUGGAAACGACUGCUAAUACCGCAUACGAUCUAAUCUCGGCAUCGAGGAUAGAUGAAAGGUGGCCUCUACAUGUAAGCUAUCACUGAAGGAGGGGAUUGCGUCUGAUUAGCUAGUUGGAGGGGUAACGGCCCACCAAGGCGAUGAUCAGUAGCCGGUCUUAGAGGAUGAACGGCCACAUUGGGACUGAGACACGGCCCAGACUCCUACGGGAGGCAGCAGUGGGGAAUCUUCCGCAAUGGACGAAAGUCUGACGGAGCAACGCCGCGUGGGUGAUGACGGCCUUCGGGUUGUAAAGCUCUGUUAAUCGGGACGAAAGGCCUUCUUGCGAAUAGUGAGAAGGAUUGACGGUACCGGAAUAGAAAGCCACGGCUAACUACGUG
This 510-nucleotide ribosomal RNA is filed under the name uncultured bacterium. RNAcentral describes it as "partial 16S ribosomal RNA". It matches the Rfam family "Bacterial small subunit ribosomal RNA", at positions 28 to 507 of the family's 1533-position model. The record is from RNAcentral.